This 751-nucleotide ribosomal RNA is filed under the name Bacillus tequilensis. Its description in RNAcentral is "bacterial SSU rRNA". It matches the Rfam family "Bacterial small subunit ribosomal RNA", at positions 87 to 823 of the family's 1533-position model. The record is from RNAcentral. Lineage: Bacteria; Bacillati; Bacillota; Bacilli; Caryophanales; Bacillaceae.
UGAUGUUAGCGGCGGACGGGUGAGUAACACGUGGGUAACCUGCCUGUAAGACUGGGAUAACUCCGGGAAACCGGGGCUAAUACCGGAUGGUUGUUUGAACCGCAUGGUUCAAACAUAAAAGGUGGCUUCGGCUACCACUUACAGAUGGACCCGCGGCGCAUUAGCUAGUUGGUGAGGUAACGGCUCACCAAGGCAACGAUGCGUAGCCGACCUGAGAGGGUGAUCGGCCACACUGGGACUGAGACACGGCCCAGACUCCUACGGGAGGCAGCAGUAGGGAAUCUUCCGCAAUGGACGAAAGUCUGACGGAGCAACGCCGCGUGAGUGAUGAAGGUUUUCGGAUCGUAAAGCUCUGUUGUUAGGGAAGAACAAGUACCGUUCGAAUAGGGCGGUACCUUGACGGUACCUAACCAGAAAGCCACGGCUAACUACGUGCCAGCAGCCGCGGUAAUACGUAGGUGGCAAGCGUUGUCCGGAAUUAUUGGGCGUAAAGGGCUCGCAGGCGGUUUCUUAAGUCUGAUGUGAAAGCCCCCGGCUCAACCGGGGAGGGUCAUUGGAAACUGGGGAACUUGAGUGCAGAAGAGGAGAGUGGAAUUCCACGUGUAGCGGUGAAAUGCGUAGAGAUGUGGAGGAACACCAGUGGCGAAGGCGACUCUCUGGUCUGUAACUGACGCUGAGGAGCGAAAGCGUGGGGAGCGAACAGGAUUAGAUACCCUGGUAGUCCACGCCGUAAACGAUGAGUGCUAAGUGU